This is a long non-coding RNA of Entelurus aequoreus (snake pipefish), 1038 nucleotides long. RefSeq lists it as uncharacterized. The transcript has 9 exons. NCBI's taxonomy places the organism in Eukaryota, Metazoa, Chordata, Actinopteri, Syngnathiformes, Syngnathidae. The record is from RefSeq and is a predicted model, not a curated record.
GCCCGCCAUUGAAGCAAAUGCAGGAAAGCGUUGAGAUGUCACGUGACUGUUCCCGGAUAUGGCAGCAUGUCAGGUCUAAGUUGGAUGUCAAAGUUGACCAACUUGUGUGUUUAUGUCCACAACCUUCUACUAUCCAGUAUUCUGGACAUCUUUUGCAAUUUGUUUAAUGAACAAUGAAGGCUGCAAAGAAGACAGUUGUAGGUGGGAUCGGUGUAUUAGCAGCGGACUACAGCAACACAACCAGGAGGACUUUGUUGGAGAGCAGACGCGCUAGCCGCCGACCUCACCUUGACUUCCUACGUCUCCGGGCUGCCAAACGCAUCGGGUGAAGUCCUUCGUCCUUCUGCCGAUCGCUGGAACGCAGUCGUCCAUGACGUUCUACUCGUAAAUGAUUCUCCAUUCGUCACUCCAAGAAACCGCCGAGCCAGAAGUAGAAGUGCCGUUCGGUCUUCUAGCCAUCCAUAGCGGAUCUACUCGUAAAUGAUUCUUCAUUCGUCACUCCAAGCAACGUGUUCAUCCAUAACGAUUCUACGUGUGAUGAUUCUUCAUUCGUCACUCCAAGCGACGUGUUCAUCCAUAACGAUUCUACUUGUGAUGAUUCUUCAUUCAUGACUCCAAGCAACGUGUCCUCAUCUGGUUGACCCCGCUGAGGAUGCUGGGGGGCAGCUGGCCGCCCGCCUUCACUGGUGCACUCUGGGAGAUCCUCUGCUGGUUCAGGGCUGCAGACCAGGACACACACAGACCACAUGAACCAGGUUCCUGCAAGACCUGAUCACCUCCCACACAAAGACCUGAUCACCUCCCACACAAAGACCUGAUCACCUCCCACACAAAGACCUGAUCACCUCCCACACACACGUUGCUGAUCUUUCAUUGUGACUUUUGUUCCCGCCUAAACACGUCAUGUGAUCUCCCUCCCCCAGGACACUUGAUUAGGCACACAUGACUAUGAUAUCAAACAUCACGAUAGAGAUCAGGAGUCAAAAACUCAUCACUUUUCAACUGGAUCGCAAGUUGUAUUUGUAACCAUUCCUUGUC